Molecule: ribosomal RNA, 1343 nt
Filed under: uncultured bacterium
Lineage: Bacteria
Description: 16S ribosomal RNA
Rfam family: Bacterial small subunit ribosomal RNA
Source: RNAcentral
GACGAACGCUGGCGGCGUGCUUAACACAUGCAAGUCGAACGGAAAGGCCCUGCUUUUGUGGGGUGCUCGAGUGGCGAACGGGUGAGUAACACGUGAGUAACCUGCCCUUGACUUUGGGAUAACUUCAGGAAACUGGGGCUAAUACCGGAUAGGAGCUCCUGCUGCAUGGUGGGGGUUGGAAAGUUUCGGCGGUUGGGGAUGGACUCGCGGCUUAUCAGCUUGUUGGUGGGGUAGUGGCUUACCAAGGCUUUGACGGGUAGCCGGCCUGAGAGGGUGACCGGCCACAUUGGGACUGAGAUACGGCCCAGACUCCUACGGGAGGCAGCAGUGGGGAAUAUUGCACAAUGGGCGGAAGCCUGAUGCAGCAACGCCGCGUGCGGGAUGACGGCCUUCGGGUUGUAAACCGCUUUCGCCUGUGACGAAGCGUGAGUGACGGUAAUGGGUAAAGAAGCACCGGCUAACUACGUGCCAGCAGCCGCGGUGAUACGUAGGGUGCGAGCGUUGUCCGGAUUUAUUGGGCGUAGAGGGCUCGUAGGUGGUUGAUCGCGUCGGAAGUGUAAUCUUGGGGCUUAACCCUGAGCGUGCUUUCGAUACGGGUUGACUUGAGGAAGGUAGGGGAGAAUGGAAUUCCUGGUGGAGCGGUGGAAUGCGCAGAUAUCAGGAGGAACACCAGUGGCGAAGGCGGUUCUCUGGGCCUUUCCUGACGCUGAGGAGCGAAAGCGUGGGGAGCGAACAGGCUUAGAUACCCUGGUAGUCCACGCUGUAAACGGUGGGUACUAGGUGUGGGGUCCAUUCCACGGGUUCCGUGCCGUAGCUAACGCUUUAAGUACCCCGCCUGGGGAGUACGGCCGCAAGGCUAAAACUCAAAGGAAUUGACGGGGCCCCGCACAAGCGGCGGAGCAUGCGGAUUAAUUCGAUGCAACGCGUAGAACCUUACCUGGGUUUGACAUGGAUCGGGAGUGCUCAGAGAUGGGUGUGCCUCUUUUGGGGUCGGUUCACAGGUGGUGCAUGCCUGUCGUCAGCUCGUGUCGUGAGAUGUUGGGUUAAGUCCCGCAACGAGCGCAACCCUUGUUCACUGUUGCCAGCACGUUAUGGUGGGGACUCAGUGGAGACCGCCGGGGUCAACUCGGAGGAAGGUGGGGAUGACGUCAAGUCAUCAUGCCCCUUAUGUCCAGGGCUUCACGCAUGCUACAAUGGCUGGUACAGAGAGUGGCGAGCCUGUGAGGGUGAGCGAAUCUCGGAAAGCCGGUCUCAGUUCGGAUUGGGGUCUGCAACUCGACCUCAUGAAGUCGGAGUCGCUAGUAAUCGCAGAUCAGCAACGCUGCGGUGAAAACGUUCCCGGG